GGUUAAUGCAUUAUGCAUAAGCAUCAGGGAAAUAAAAAGCCAUGCAGGAAAGCAGUGCAGUUCAGCUGCUUCCUAAACCCAGAGCUUGUUAUACAAAGGUUGUACCAUGAAGCAGUCCCACCCCUCCAGCUACUGAUCCUGCCAGAGCUUUGGGCUCUUCUACCACUUCCCUCCUUGCCUGGAUUGCUAAGAGAUUAACCAAUUUUAAACAGUCCCAUUUAUCCCAAGACAUGGAUACGUGAAAUAUCCUGCAGUGAUUGAAGUGCUGAAUCUCCCAGUAUUCAAGAUGAAUCUUCGUUUCACUGAAUCUUUUGACACGUAUUAUUUUAGCGAGAGCCCUCUUAAGUCUUCAUUUGCUUGUGUGUUUUGCAUCAGGCAGGAGCACAGGAGCUUGCCAUGGAGAUCAGAUUUGAGGCCAGUCCACCCUUGUGUCUCAUCCCUGACAUUGAACAGAGCAUCAGCAGAGAGCACUGGAGGCUGCAGGGCACUAAGCUGGAGGAGGGAUGACUUCACUGCGUUGGAGGUGAUUUAAUCCUCAGUUGGCCAUGCCUCAGAUGGCUCUGCUGCUGCAGGUGCCUUGCUGCAAGGGGCGCAUGAAGUGCUGAGCUUUCUCAAGAGCACUGAAAGCCCCUUCUCUCCGAGUUGUCUCAUGCAGCAGAUGAUGGCUUCGUGAAGAACAAAGCAGAGGACCAUUUACAGUAAGAGGAGUGUGCUUUGCUGAGUGCAGAGUGUUUGCAGCUCUUAAUGAUGCAGAACCUCUUUUAGGUGGCUGUGGGAAAGGG
Molecule: long non-coding RNA, 782 nt
Organism: Pezoporus flaviventris
Lineage: Eukaryota; Metazoa; Chordata; Aves; Psittaciformes; Psittacidae
Exons: 5
Source: RefSeq, a predicted model, not a curated record